This 1985-nucleotide long non-coding RNA is filed under the name Vombatus ursinus (common wombat). RNAcentral's name for it is "lncRNA (ENSVURG00010009005.1)". Lineage: Eukaryota; Metazoa; Chordata; Mammalia; Diprotodontia; Vombatidae. The record is from RNAcentral.
CUCCAAACAAGUCUUUGGUGGUGGCAGUGGCGGUGGCAAACUGGGGCACAAAAGCAGGGUGAACUAAAGACGUCUCCUCAGCCUGCCUUCCGCCCACCCCGAGCGCACCUGCUCCCUCCCUUUCAGGCUGUCGGGCCCGCCGAGGGGUCCCCGGUGGGGAGCGGGCUGGGUGGGGCCGGGUGGGUUACAAAAGCCGAUGAGUCUCGGCUCAUUGCUCCCUCUGCACCCGCUCCUCGAUGAGUCAGACCCAGACCUUACGGGACGCUGUUAGGGGUCAAUCACUCCCCCUCCCACCCUGGCAUUCAAUGUAGGAAGUCAGGUCUCUCCCCAGCCUCCUAGCAAGAGGAGGAAGGCCCACGGGCGCCCGAGAAACUUACCGAGGAAGCCUCGAUGCCCUCCCCCCACGCACACACGCAUGUACCCCCAUUGCUCCUUGCCCCCAGCUCAACGACCUUCUUUUUUAUUCCUAACAGUGAUGACUUUCACGACCCCGACCCCCCGCCUGAACCUGGGGAAGACGAGAUCGAGCUGUUAGAUGACACCCUUGACCUGGAAGCCGAGCAGGACCUGGAGUCUGAGUCCGAGUUGGAGUCCGAACUGGAACCAGAACCUCAGCUGCUCCCAGAAUCGGAGUCCGAGCUAGAAGACGAAGUCCCUGUCCCAGUCAGCGUCUUCGUUCAAACCUCCAAUCUGGCAUUUAGCCUGACCCCGAGGAAGAUGCCCCCGGGACCCAGAGUGAAUGUCCAGAUCCAGACGGCUGUUGGGCCCAAAGGGGCAUUGGAGUUAAGUAUUUCCCACGAGCCCCGGAGCCCGGAGCCCUUACCGGUGAAGGAUGGUCUGCACCAUACAUUCCGGUCAGUCUUUGUGCAAACCUCCAGGCACCUGUUCCGGAUAGACAAGCUGAUACAGGCGUCUGACCAUCGCCUCAAGCAGCCAUUAGGGAUAGGGUGCCACCCAUUCCCAAUGCGAGACUGGCCUUUCCAGAAAUCUUUUGGACGAACCUCCAAGGAAAGCCUGCUCUCUGGCAACAAAUUGUCCAAGAUGUUCAUGGAGGACGUUAGAAUCCAAACCUCUCACCCAAGCCUGGGCAUUGAAGGUUUCCCACCACAGACCCCCAUUCAAGUAUUACUACCAGAAAGGUCGCCCUCAGAAAUCCAGUUGCUACCUUCCCGAAGCUUGUCUGCUAAAUUCUCGGAGCCACUGGACUUCAGAAUACUAGACUUUCGUCCAACCUCUGCCAGCCUUCCCCCAGCGCUGGUUUCUAGUACUGCGACCUCUUGCAAUUCCUCUUCCACAGAGCUGAUACUAGAUUCCAAAGCUCUGAUUUCCUGCAAGUCUUCCACAGGGCUGAGAAUGAGCUCCAGGUCACCCAUGACCCAAGAAUCGACCACGGACCUUUCCAUAGCAACUGAGCAGCCAGUCUCACCUUUGCCCCUCCUGAAGCCACCAGAAGCAGGGGAGCCUCAGAAGUCCAUCAGCCAGGAAUUUGCCCCGAAGCCAGGCUAUGCUCUGAACAUGACCAAGGCAGCCUCAGAAAGAGCAUCCAUGGAAGGGGAAGUUAACCCUCUCCACUCUCCAUCUUUAGCUCCAGUGUCAUCGGGACCUUGGAAAGAGGUGAGGAGGGAACCAUGGAGGGCAUGGAAGGGGGUGCGGAGCCUAUGGACCAGUGAAUCCUCUCCCAGUGCUUCGUGGGAAUAAACAGACACUGACACAGAUGGACAGCCAACUCCAAAAGCCUUGGAGGUAGGGGGGAUAUUAACUCCCCCAUUUCCUUCCCACCACCCCACCACUGCCUCCAGCCUGGAGAGGCUGCCCUUCUCUCCUCUGGUGGUGGCAAGGGCCCGGGCCUCCCAUGACUCUGUCUCUCUUAUGUUGCAGCUCCACGUCAAGAAUCAGAAGUGGAAACCCACUAUUCCUACAUAUACAUUUUAAGCUGUCAACCUCACAUCAUAUCCUAAAAAUGCUUAGCCAAAGAUCAAUAAAAC